UUUCCAUGUAUCCGAAUUAUAUUCCGAUGUGUUCAACGGGUAAAAUUCUACUCAAAUGGAGGAAUACUCGAGAUGAAAGGGACGUAUUGAUAAAUGUUGUGAAAUGGAUACUUUGAACAGAGUUUCCAGUUUAGCUCGGGUUGGAGGCCGUCAAAGAUAUUAUCACACUGUCAAGCUAACGCUAUUGGUGUAGUGAUUUCAAGUACUUUGAGCCUAUGGCAUGUAUAGGAGUUUAAAUAUUAGAGUAUGUGAUAUGGCUUUAACCAUAUGCGUUGGCCUAUUUUGAUUAUGGGGUUGUAAAUCUAUUUUAAUUAUGCAUGCAUGUGCUAUGGUAUUAUGUGAUGAGUUUAUAAUGAUUAUAGUA
Long non-coding RNA from Gossypium arboreum, 364 nucleotides. RefSeq lists it as uncharacterized. Lineage: Eukaryota; Viridiplantae; Streptophyta; Magnoliopsida; Malvales; Malvaceae. The record is from RefSeq and is a predicted model, not a curated record. The transcript is spliced from 2 exons.